GCUGGUAAACCUUUUGCUAUCCAAGUGUGAGCACCCAUGUUUGGAUGCCCCAAACCAAACCAGAAGCUGAGCAUGCUGGUGUGAGUUGUAAUUGCUGCACUGCUGUGGUGAGAUGGGAGUGGAGACAAGAGAGUAACCAAAACACGUACAGGGAGCAGUAAGAACAGUUUGUCCCAAACAAGGUAGAAGGCAAAGACUGACACCUGAGAGGUUGUCCUCUGGCCUACAUGCACACACUAUGGCUCACAUAUACACACACCACACACACACUCAUGCAUGUGAAAAGAACACACACAUACAUGUGCAUACGUCCUGUGCACACCUACACAUGUGCACAAAAUUAAAAGAAAGAAGUUUGAAUUUGAGGUUGGGGAGGGAAGGGGCUGUCAUUUCCAAUGAGAACCAAUGGAUUUGGAGUUGGCCAGGGCAGUCACUGAACAAGUCACGGCAAGCUGUCUGACACUGAUACAUUGUGUAGGAAGGCUGACAUUUCGAAAGAAGCCGUUCUGUUUCAUCAGGACAAAGUCUGUGUGGCGCUGCCAGCUAAUGCAAACCCAGGCAAUGUUUUCCAUUCCACUGAUGACUCAGCUCUGUGACCUUGUGAGAGGGACAAGAGAGGCAGAAGCCACUCUAGGCAAAUCAGGACAUGGGCCACUUCCCCCACUUCUUUCAUAUGAGUCAGAAACAGAGAGAGAGAGAUUGAAUAUUUAUGCCUAGGUGUUCUCAUAAAACAUGCAUGAAAGCAAGCAAGAGCGGCAUUUCAUGUAGAAUGCAAAGGAUUUGGCACUUACAGCUGAAAGUGUACGAUAUCCCAGGAUGGGACAGAAACGAGCUGCUGAUUGUGACAGGCAGCAAGUCCGUGUCCACCUCUACCUGAAGACCUGGCCGAUGGCUUCAAAGAGGAUGUUGGGAAUAUUUCCUACGGCAUGGAAUAAUUAACCUGAUUCACAGGCUUCUAACAGCAUCUGCAGGCUCAGAGGGCAAGCCAUCAAUCAAGCACAACAGGACGCUAGUAAACCACGAGUAAAGCUCCUGUAAUUGCUGUAAGGAAAGAAGAUACUUUGACUGAGGAAUGUCCAACGCCAGCCGCUCAGACUACCUAACUAACCCUGCAGAGAACCCUGUGCAGAGGAGUGAGGGUAAGCGCGCCCAAUAGGACUUACACUGACUGGCAUCUGUGGCUCCACCAUUUUUCUUUU
Rattus norvegicus (Norway rat) is the source of this 1199-nucleotide non-coding RNA. NCBI's taxonomy places the organism in Eukaryota, Metazoa, Chordata, Mammalia, Rodentia, Muridae. The record is from RefSeq and is a predicted model, not a curated record.